Long non-coding RNA from Schistocerca gregaria, 437 nucleotides. RefSeq lists it as uncharacterized. The record is from RefSeq and is a predicted model, not a curated record. NCBI's taxonomy places the organism in Eukaryota, Metazoa, Arthropoda, Insecta, Orthoptera, Acrididae. The transcript is spliced from 4 exons.
CUUACAAUCGUUGGAAAGAACGAUUCUCAUCUUUUUGAAGCAGAACUGAAUGUAGACAAAAAUGAUUAUCAACUGAAUGGAGAGGAAUAUUUACCCUGGGAUGAUGAUUCAAAUGCCAAAAAUGGCACUUAUCUGUCAAACUUUAUCGUUUACUCAACACUUGAUAUGGUUGAUGAGACCAUCUGGAAUGAACCGAAAAUAUAUUUAUCAACUAUUGACAAGUAUAAAUCCUUUUCAGUCUCGGCAUACGUUACCAGCGGCCUCACCAAGUUUUUGCUCGCACACCAAAACCAAAAGAGCGAAGAGGCAAUCAAACAGUUCUUCCGAGACUGUCAUGAGCUCUAUUUAAAAAUGCUCAUGAACCCUUGCUACGAGCCUAAUUCGCCAAUUACCUCGAAGGCGUUCUACGAAGGAAUUCAGGCAAUCGCAGAUCUCCG